This is a long non-coding RNA of Anguilla anguilla (European eel), 4219 nucleotides long. RefSeq lists it as uncharacterized. NCBI's taxonomy places the organism in Eukaryota, Metazoa, Chordata, Actinopteri, Anguilliformes, Anguillidae. The transcript has 3 exons. The record is from RefSeq and is a predicted model, not a curated record.
UGGUGCUGUGGCGCAAUGGGCACAGAGGACGUGCUUCCACUGAGAGUAGUUCUAGUGUUGCCUGGCCACAAUGCGGGUGUAAAAUGGCGUAGAAGAGGAUGUAGCGCGUCGGGGCAAAGGGAGUACCUGGCGAAGGGGCUCCGACUGCAGGCUUGAAAUCCAUCCUUAGCUGCCUCAGCUGUACCAGCAAGAUGAAGAAGCCCCAGAAACUGCAGCCUCCACAACCAUCGUAUUUUCUAAAGAAAAUGAGCCUAAAGUAACUUGACAAGAUGCAGAGUGAGUCACUGCAGGUGUCAAGUCAAACAUCCCCUCCAAAUACCCGCUGAGACAAAACUGUGUGCCUCUGUGAAGGUCCCUGACUGGACAGAUGGAGUUUGGGAGGCCAGUGACAAGACCUCUGAGGUCAGUAGGAACUGGGAAGGCUCAAGGAUUAGAGUCUUCGCCUUCACCCCUCUGCCCGAAGAGAAGACCAUUUGGGACACAUGCUCCUAGUACUGAAGAUAUGGGCACUGAUCACAGCCAGGGCUGAAUCAGUGAGACCCCACCCCCCUUCCUCCCCCUUCAAUAAGAAUUUCAGUUUAUCCUGCCCCUCAGAAUUCUCCUUCACCCACUUCAUUUGUGACAACAUAAAGUAGUAAAAUCAGUUGUGGCUCCCCCCUCAAAGAUAAUCCAUUCAGACGUCACUACAGAUUAAGUGACAGCAAAGUUAUUUUCAGAAAUAAGAUGAAACGCUUGCCUAUAAAAUUGUUUUGCUGUUGAUGGUUCCCAUCUUCUUCAUUAGAAUAUAAUUUGAAUCAGUUUUACUAAUCUGUCUAACCUAAUGAAAUUAACAUAAGUCAUGUAGUAAUAGGCUUAACCCAGCAUCACACUCGUUCCUCCAUGAGCAUUUUUGUCUUUGGGUGGAUGGCCAAAAUUGGAAGAGCAAUGACAACUAGCUUAAAACCUGACUGGCAUGUCAUUCCAGCUAUCCGCAAUCACCAGGCAACGUGCUGGUGGUGAAAGCACCAUGGUCUUUAACUGUGUAUUUGACUCUUUGAAAUGCUGGUCUUCAAGUUUGAAUGACGUAGAAGGAUAUUACCAUAUUUGUCUUAAUUUUCUGCUUAAAUCUUAUUGAGAAAAGGGUGCAUAACCCAUUAUAUCCAAGAAGACCCGCCACUGUCAUUUGUGAGCAAAUUAGUUUGGAAGGCUGUUUGAUGAGGAGGUAUUAGGAAAAAAAUGCCUGAUUUCACUAUUGUAGUGUGUAUGAUUGUUGACUAAGUAGCUUUAUUUGCUUGUAUUUACUUUCCUUAUGUUAUCCGUGCAUUCCAUACAUUCUUCACUAUUAUCGUUUCAUCCCAUGUAGCCAAUGUAAGGGGUAUUAAUUGCAUGAACCAAGUAGACCUUUUGAGUUAAACGUUUGCGGCGGGAGUGUCGUCUGACGUCCCAUUGGAGUUGUGUGCUAAGUCUGCCCUGCCCAUGGGAUGCAUCUGGCCACUUCACCAGCACUGGAUGGCCUGCAGGUUGAAGCAAUCCAGUCUUUUCUUUUAAGCGGAACUGUGCAAUACAUAAUUUCUUCCUUUUUUUUUCCUGUUGCUGUUAUAAAUAUGUAAAAAAAGAAAGAAAACAAUAAUUGUGAAACAAGUGACAAGUUGUUUUGAAACAACAAAAUCACCAACGUCUUCCAUUAAAAGAUGUAUAGUCCCAUGCGCAUUAGCUUACUAGCCGUACGGUAGUGCCAACAUAACUGGCCAUGCAUGAAAAGUAGUGAUGCAUGCUGAAUACAGUAAUUAUAGUAAUAUUUUAUAAUUGUAAAAAGUAGAAGAGGAAGAAAUGGUGCUCAAACCAGUGAGCUGGAGCAGCCAGAAAAUGUAUAAAGAAUUGGCAACUCUUGCUCUCUGUAAAACUAUUUUGAUUUUAUUUUUUCUAGACGUAUAUUAAAUAAAAUCAGAGUAUUUUUACAGAGAGCAGGAGUUGCGCCUGUUCUUUGAUCAGUAAUUGUAAAAUUACUGACCAGGCGUAGUUACUAACCAGGAAGAAGCAUCCGUUUCUCACAGGAGUCUGAGCCUAGGUUAAUGAAUGAAUAAACAAGCAUAUAGGCCUUGAUUAGACUGCUUAAAAUUAACAAUACAGAGUUAGGUCUAUGCCAUGGUAAAAUUGGCUAUCGCUUUUCUUUUUAUCUUGUGUCCCACUGUAGUUUAUGACUAGAUUUGGACACAUGGCAUCCCCUAGCAUCUGUCUGUAUGGAGAAAUGACAGUUCUGAUGUUCCUGUAAUUUAGAAGCCAAAAUGCAUCGCAUUCAUUCAUUGUUUUUUUUUUUUUAAUGUUUUUUUUUUGUAUUAUGUAACAAUAUAAUUUUGUACUGUUUAGAAUACUGUGUUAAUCCCCUUUUGCUCUCACGCCUGAGGGUGUGACAUCAUUCAUUAUGGAAAAAAUUAUUUGCCUUUAAUGAUAUAUAGUUUUCAGAGACGAGGGGACACAGUGUGCGUCAGUCACAGCAAAUUAUGUAAAACUGUAGCAAAGAUGUUCAGUCAUCAAUCGUCGAAUUGUAAUCUUUUCGCCAGAAAGCGGUGACCUUCCUUGUUGGGUGAGACACAUCUUCAUCGACAUGACUAGCUCCUCUCAGAGUGCCGUGUAUGUGUUUUUACCCAGAAUGCUUUCUUGGAGGUGGAAGGCUGUGUUUAUCCCCUUGAUAUUAACAUGUUAGAAAUGUAAAAGCUUUAUUCAUUAUGAGAGGGGAUUCUCAGACAUGGCUGGGGAUGUGUCUAACCUGUGUCGGCACGCUUCUGACGACGACUGGUAAACUGUAGCUUCAAAUUAGCAUCGUAGUGGUAGGCAUAGAAUGUAGAAUAGAGUUAAAGUCAUUGAUAAAAGUGGAAAAACCUAUACUGUAAUGUAGAUAAAUACCUCAAGGUUUGGAAUGCAGAACAUCUUGUUAGAAUAUCUCUAAUGCAAAUUAAGCCAUAAUGCAUACAUAUAUAGGCCUAUAUAUACAUAUAUAGAGUUAUUUAGAAAUUUAGAAGCAAUAAAAAUGUUAUGCAUGAUUUAGUGCCAGGAUGAUUAUUGUUUCUGUGGAGUGGCAACUCUUAGCAAACUGUAAUUGUGGUUGAAAUUUUGUAGGCAGGCAACUGCUUUGUGUAUAUCUGACCUUAGAAUAGAUAGGGGAAUUAGAAACUCUGGGAGAUAUAGGGGAUUAUGUGCCAAUUGUUAAUGGACACAUUUUUUUUUUUGCACUGUCUUUUUGACAGACCACAUUAUUCCAGUGAAUUAACUUGCACAAUGAUUUCACCGCAGACUUAUGAACAUCAGCAUAAUUCUUUGAAUAUGGAAAUGUAAUCAUCCUGGGUGAAUACAGUGUGACAUCUGUAAGACAUUAAUAAGCAGUGGGUAGAUUUUUUGAUAACCUUGCAGUUUUUCAUUUGUGUGUUGCAUUAUUAAACAAAAAGAGAAGGUGUGUAGUGGGAGUGCAGCCCUUGCAUCUUACAUUGAGAGGCCGUCCAACAGUACACCAAAGUUUUCAUCACAGAUCACAGCUUGGUGUACCGUUGGGAUGGAGCUCAACAGAACAGAUUGUUCUGAUGUUUAAUGCAUGUUUACGUGGCUAAAUGUUGUUUAGCUGGAUGAAACUAAUCACAUGCACAAAUAUAUGAAUAUAUAUGCAUUUUAUUAUGAUUGAAAGCAAUAGGAUUUAUGUAGUGAUCUUACAUUGCACUUAAUUAUUAUCAUUUUUUUUGUCUUAAGGAUUUAGUUCUGACACAAAACUGUAUGUCAGCCGUCACCACAGUAACAGAGGGCCUGUGGAGGCUGGUGUGUGGAAACAUGCUCUUUACUGAGUUAAGGUGGUUACAAACACUUUAGAACAAACAGCUAUGUACUAUGUACUUGUAAUCAGUUUACUGCUAGUGAGGAUCAGCAUAUCGGUUGUAAAGUAGGAUGGAUUUCAUGUUUACUAAAUCUUUCACAGUACUGUCUUUUCACACAUCUCUAACACUUUGUGUGGGUGUGGGGGUGGGGGAGGGGGAAUUGGGGGAUACUGUGGCUACAUCUGUACAAAUUGAAUUUAUGCACAGAAUUUAUGCUAAAGAACUAAAGGAUGCUAAUGAGAGCCCUGUUCAGUGCAUGAGAAGCAAAAUAGGAAACGUAGCAAAGCAUGCAAUAUUCUAGUAUUUGAAAACCAUGAUUGCUCUUAAAAGUUGACUGUCACUUGUAAUAAGAAAUGUUUGAAUAAAAUAAUAGGAGAUUU